CCCUUAGAUGUUCUGGGCCGCACGCGUGCUACACUGAGUGGAUCAGCGGGUCAGGUUGCGCGAAAGCGUUUCCUAAUCUUGAAAUCCGCUCGUGAUGGGGAUUGACGGUUGCAAUUUUCUGUCAUGAACGAGGAAUACCUUGUAAGCGCGGGUCAUCAUCCCGCGCUGAACACGUCCCUGCCCUUUGUACACACCGCCCGUCGCUCCUACCGAUUGAGUGGUCCGGUGAGGCUUUGGGAUCUGAGCGGAAAGAGCGUUUCGCUCGUUCUGCCCGGAAAACUCAGUCGAACCUUAUCAUUUAGAGGAAGGAGAAGUCGUAACA
Molecule: ribosomal RNA, 322 nt
Filed under: uncultured eukaryote
Lineage: Eukaryota
Description: partial 18S ribosomal RNA
Rfam family: Eukaryotic small subunit ribosomal RNA
Source: RNAcentral